This 772-nucleotide ribosomal RNA is filed under the name Myrmecridium yunnanense. Its description in RNAcentral is "Myrmecridium sp. DB-2023a partial large subunit ribosomal RNA". It matches the Rfam family "Eukaryotic large subunit ribosomal RNA", at positions 88 to 893 of the family's 3401-position model. The record is from RNAcentral. Lineage: Eukaryota; Fungi; Ascomycota; Sordariomycetes; Myrmecridiales; Myrmecridiaceae.
GGCGAGUGAAGCGGCAACAGCUCAAAUUUGAAAUCUGGCGCAAGCCCGAGUUGUAAUUUGCAGAGGAUGCUUUUGGUGCGGUGCCUUCUGAGUUCCCUGGAACGGGACGCCGGAGAGGGUGAGAGCCCCGUACAGUUGGACACCAAGCCUUUGUAAAGCUCCUUCGACGAGUCGAGUAGUUUGGGAAUGCUGCUCAAAAUGGGAGGUAAAUGCCUUCUAAAGCUAAAUACCGGCCAGAGACCGAUAGCGCACAAGUAGAGUGAUCGAAAGAUGAAAAGCACUUUGAAAAGAGGGUUAAAAAGUACGUGAAAUUGUUGAAAGGGAAGCGCUCGUGACCAGACUUGCGCCCGGCGGAUCAUCCGGCCUUCUGGCCGGUGCACUCCGCCAGGCUCAGGCCAGCAUCGGUUCUUCCGGGGGGACAAAAGCGGUGGGAACGUAGCUCCUCCGGGAGUGUUAUAGCCCGCCGCAGAAUACCCCCGGGGGGACCGAGGACCGCGCUUCGGCAAGGAUGCUGGCGUAAUGGUCACCAGCGACCCGUCUUGAAACACGGACCAAGGAGUCAAGCAUUAGGGCGAGUGUUUGGGUGUCAAACCCGCACGCGAAAUGAAAGUGAACGCAGGUGAGAGCUUCGGCGCAUCAUCGACCGAUCCUGAUGUUUUCGGAUGGAUUUGAGUAAGAGCCUUGCCGCUUGGACCCGAAAGAUGGUGAACUAUGCUUGGAUAGGGUGAAGCCAGAGGAAACUCUGGUGGAGGCUCGCAGCGGUUCUGACGUG